RNAcentral lists this ribosomal RNA (505 nucleotides) under uncultured bacterium. RNAcentral describes it as "partial 16S ribosomal RNA". It matches the Rfam family "Bacterial small subunit ribosomal RNA", at positions 28 to 507 of the family's 1533-position model. The record is from RNAcentral.
GACGAACGCUGGCGGCGUGCCUAAUACAUGCAAGUAGAACGCACAGUUUAUACCGUAGCUUGCUACACCAUAAACUGUGAGUUGCGAACGGGUGAGUAACGCGUAGGUAACCUGCCUGGUAGCGGGGGAUAACUAUUGGAAACGAUAGCUAAUACCGCAUAAUAUUAAUUAUUGCAUGAUAAUUGAUUGAAAGAUGCAAUUGCAUCACUACCAGAUGGACCUGCGUUGUAUUAGCUAGUAGGUGAGGUAACGGCUCACCUAGGCGACGAUACAUAGCCGACCUGAGAGGGUGGUCGGCCACCCUGGGACUGAGACACGGCCCAGACUCCUACGGGAGGCAGCAGUAGGGAAUCUUCGGCAAUGGACGAAAGUCUGACCGAGCAACGCCGCGUGAGUGAAGAAGGUUUUCGGAUCGUAAAGCUCUGUUGUAAGAGAAGAACGGGUGUGAGAGUGGAAAGUUCACACUGUGACGGUAUCUUACCAGAAAGGGACGGCUAACUACGUG